This 253-nucleotide ribosomal RNA is filed under the name uncultured bacterium. RNAcentral describes it as "partial 16S ribosomal RNA". It matches the Rfam family "Bacterial small subunit ribosomal RNA", at positions 524 to 776 of the family's 1533-position model. The record is from RNAcentral.
UACGUAGGGUGCGAGCGUUAAUCGGAAUCACUGGGCGUAAAGUGUGCGCAGGCGGCCGCGCAAGUCGAGUGUGAAAUCCCCGAGCUUAACUUGGGAAUUGCGCUCGAAACUACGUGGCUGGAGUGUGGCAGAGGAAGGUGGAAUUCCACGUGUAGCGGUGAAAUGCGUAGAGAUGUGGAGGAACACCGAUGGCGAAGGCAGCCUUCUGGGCCAACACUGACGCUCAUGCACGAAAGCGUGGGGAGCAAGCAGG